Molecule: ribosomal RNA, 253 nt
Filed under: uncultured bacterium
Lineage: Bacteria
Description: partial 16S ribosomal RNA
Rfam family: Bacterial small subunit ribosomal RNA
Source: RNAcentral
UACGAAGGGUGCAAGCGUUGCUCGGAAUUAUUGGGCGUAAAGGGUAGGUAGGUGGUUACGUAUGUCUGGGGUGAAAUCCCUGAGCUCAACUCAGGAAGUGCCUUGGAAACGGCGUAACUAGAGUGCUGGAGAGGUUCGCAGAAUUCCCGGUGUAGCGGUGAAAUGCGUAGAGAUCGGGAGGAAUACCAGAGGCGAAGGCGGCGAACUGGACAGCAACUGACACUAAACUACGAAAGCGUGGGGAGCAAACAGG